This is a long non-coding RNA of Boleophthalmus pectinirostris (great blue-spotted mudskipper), 333 nucleotides long. RefSeq lists it as uncharacterized. The record is from RefSeq and is a predicted model, not a curated record. The transcript is spliced from 5 exons. NCBI's taxonomy places the organism in Eukaryota, Metazoa, Chordata, Actinopteri, Gobiiformes, Gobiidae.
UUUAGUUUGACUCCAUUUGGACUCAGAGCUCAGACUUCACCUGGACCUCACCUGGACCUCACCUGGACCUCACCUGGACCUCACCUGGACCUCACCUGGACCUCACCUGGACGUCCGCUGCAGGUUGUUGUUUUUCAAGUUCCCAAAAUGGAACCCAGGGACAAAUAUGGACACAGGAAGGCCGAGUCUCUGUCCAACCUGUCCCAGCGACCCAAACACAGGUUGAGUUUCAGUGGGAUUCCCUCCGUCAGCAUCAAACUGUUCAAGAGAAACAAACCUCGAGCCUUUAGUGCCUCGUCUCCUCACCCUCCUCCCCAGGCCCCGCCCCCCUUC